RNAcentral lists this ribosomal RNA (250 nucleotides) under uncultured bacterium. RNAcentral describes it as "partial 16S ribosomal RNA". It matches the Rfam family "Bacterial small subunit ribosomal RNA", at positions 524 to 773 of the family's 1533-position model. RNAcentral also lists the same sequence under 1 other name. The record is from RNAcentral.
UACGGAGGGUGCAAGCGUUAAUCGGAAUUACUGGGCGUAAAGCGCACGCAGGCGGUCUGUCAAGUCGGAUGUGAAAUCCCCGGGCUCAACCUGGGAACUGCAUUCGAAACUGGCAGGCUUGAGUCUCGUAGAGGGGGGUAGAAUUCCAGGUGUAGCGGUGAAAUGCGUAGAUAUUAGGAGGAACACCAGUGGCGAAGGCGGCUUUCUGGACGAAGACUGACGCUCAGGUGCGAAAGCGUGGGGAGCAAAC